GCAGACACAUUCCAGCCAAUCAGCAGCAGACCCUCCCUCCCAGACCCUCCCACCUCCUGGACAGCAUCCACUUAAGAAUGCAGCUUCACUUAUUGAGCUGUCCAGGAGGUGGGAGGGUCUGGGAGGGAGGGUCUGCUGCUGAUUGGCUGGAAUGUGUCUG
This 160-nucleotide microRNA precursor is filed under the name Pelobates cultripes (western spadefoot toad). Lineage: Eukaryota; Metazoa; Chordata; Amphibia; Anura; Pelobatidae. The record is from RNAcentral.